AUAUAGAUCAAUGGAAUAGAAUAUCAAAUUGAGAAGUAAACUCAUACAUAUUUUGUAACUUGAUUUUCAACAAAAACACCAAUGCAUUUCAGUAGGGGAAAGGAAUCUUUUCAGUAAAUGGUACUGGAAUAACUGAAUGUCCUUAAGAAACAGAAAAGGACCUUGACCUCUACUUCAUAGCAAAACCCUACUAAAAAUACAAAAAUUAGUCAGGGGUGGUAGCAUGUGCCUGUAAUCCCAGCUACUUGGGAGGCUGAGGCAGGAGAAUCUCUUGAACCUGGGAGGGGGAGGUUGCCAUGAGCGGAGACCACGCCAUUGCACUCCAGCCUGGGUGACAGAGUGAGACUCCAUUUCAAAAAAAAAAAAAAAGAAAAAGAAAACAUAGGAAAAUAUCUUUUCAACUUUGGGGUAGGAAAAGAUUUCUUAGGCACAAAAAUUCCUAAUCAUAAAAGAAAAUGAUAAAUUUGGCUCCACCAAAAUCAAAACUUUCUGCUCAGUAAAAGACAAUGUUAAGAAAUGAGAACACAAGCCACAUUGUUGGGGGAAAUGUUCACAACAUAUAGAGACAGAGAUAGAGAGAUCUCCUACAAAUCAAUAAUAAAAGAGAAAAAGCAGCAUUAUGGCUCUUCACAAAGGAAGGCUCUUCACAGAGGAAGGUAGAAAAAUGGAUAAUAAGCAUAUGAAAAAAGCUAUCCACUUCUCUUCCUCCAACACCUUCUUUAGCCACAGGUAUCAGAUAAGUGUGGGGGGAGGGUGAAGAGGGGGGAAGGAUUGAAUUACUUAGUGUAUUAGUUGGGUUUCUCCAGAAACAUGGAACCAAUAGGGGGUGUGUGU
RNAcentral lists this long non-coding RNA (834 nucleotides) under Homo sapiens (human). RNAcentral describes it as "HSALNT0250862". The record is from RNAcentral. Lineage: Eukaryota; Metazoa; Chordata; Mammalia; Primates; Hominidae.